RNAcentral lists this long non-coding RNA (1321 nucleotides) under Monodelphis domestica (gray short-tailed opossum). RNAcentral's name for it is "lncRNA (ENSMODG00000045371.1)". Lineage: Eukaryota; Metazoa; Chordata; Mammalia; Didelphimorphia; Didelphidae. The record is from RNAcentral.
AUGGGAAGGAAACCAUCCAGCCACAUGGGAAAGAAACCCUCCAGCCACAUGGGAAGAGGGCCAUCCAGCCACAUGGGAAGGGGCCCAUCCAGCCACAUGGGAAGAGGGCCAUCCAGCCACAUGGGAAGGGGCCCAUCCAGCCACAUGGGAAGAGGGCCAUCCAGCCACAUGGGAAGGAAACCAUCCAGCCACAUGGGAAGGGGCCCAUCCAGCCACAUGGGAAGGUGGCCAUCCAGCCACAUAGGAAGGCGACCAUCCAGCCACAUGGGAAGGAAACCAUCCAGCUACAUGGGAAGGGGUUGUAGGCCAGUCCACAAGUGAGAAAACUGAAGUUCAGGUGUCAGAGCCAAGCGGUUGAGAUCAUUCUCUGAGUUCCAAGUGAAGGAUGGCCUCCCCUCUAACACAUGGAUGUCAGACAGACAGAGGGAUGGACACAUACCCAGAGGGCUGGCAGGAUGUGCCUGAGACUGCUCCAGCCCACAUUCCUCAGGACCUGGGAGGCCACCUGAGACAUGCCCAUGAGCCAGAGUAAACACUGAUGGGGAAGAAGGAGGAAGUAGGAGGCUUUGGGACUGCCAGGCUGCCCCAGGCAGGUCCCAGCAGCCCCGGAGUGGCCCGGUCAGCGAUCUCUCUCCUCAUUUUACAAGAUGAGGAAGUUGAGGCUAAAAGUAGAAGAAUGCUUGCUCGUGGCCAAGUCAAAGAGGGAACCAGGGGUUGAACUGCACCCCAACUGCCGUUAAAGGACUCCAAAGACAGUGGGGCGCGAUGGCCCGGGAGCCCCCACAUGGGCCCCCGGGGAGCAGCUCAAGGCCAGAAUCAUUCAUUCCCAAUGAAUGUUCUGCCUAGACACUUCGUUUUUUAAGCCCUUCCCUUCUAUCUUAGAAUCAAGAGUCUAUAUUGGUGUAAGGCAGAGGGCGGCAAGGGCUAGGCGACGACUUGCCCAAGGUCGGUUAGGAAAUGUGAGGCCGGACUCCAGGACUUCCCGUCCCAAGUCCGGCUCUCAAACCGUCCAGCCACCCAGCCGCCUCGCUCCCCAGACACUCCUAUGGGUGCCCAGCCAGUGACUUCUCGCCGUCCACGCCCUUCCCCCUUCUGUCCCGCGUCAACACAACCUCCUUCCUUCUGGCUCGGGCCCUCUUUGUCGUGGCCCUUCCAGAACAGGACGGCCCUCCCCCUUCUCGGGUCAUUCACUUAACCGUCCUGGUGUCCGGCGCAGUAACGUGGAAACGGCAGAGGGCAGGACCCGAGGGCCCCCCAGCCAAGAUUUGGAGGCAGCGCAGGGGAAGGAAGCAGCCUGGGGCCGGAGGCUCGGACUCACCAG